This is a long non-coding RNA of Pungitius pungitius (ninespine stickleback), 287 nucleotides long. RefSeq lists it as uncharacterized. The record is from RefSeq and is a predicted model, not a curated record. Lineage: Eukaryota; Metazoa; Chordata; Actinopteri; Perciformes; Gasterosteidae. The transcript is spliced from 3 exons.
UGUGUGUGUGUGUUUGUUUUACCUAUGUCCUCCAGGUCAGCGGUCAUUGACUUGGAUCGGAGUGUCAACGAAGUGCUGGGGGCCCGCUUCGGAGGGGGCGGAGCUACAAGACAAGAACCAACCGCAAGAUCAAGCCUCGGAGAAGUCAGAUGGCGAGAAAGCCAGGUUGGUUUCAGAUUUCCUGGAAACCGAUACAACCUUCAUCAGCAGUCGACUCCCCCCCUGUCGGAUCAGAGAGACCACCUGCCGGUGCCCCACCUUCACCACAUCGGUGCCGUUCACCUGUG